CGGGGUGUAGCGGAGUUGGUACCGCACUUCAUUUGGGAUGAAGGGAUCGCGUGUUCGAGUCACGUCACUCCGACCA
The sequence is a transfer RNA, 76 nucleotides long. It matches the Rfam family "tRNA". From Rfam's summary of the family: Transfer RNA (tRNA) molecules are approximately 80 nucleotides in length. Their secondary structure includes four short double-helical elements and three loops (D, anti-codon, and T loops).